CUUGGUCAUUUAGAGGAAGUAAAAGUCGUAACAAGGUUUCCGUAGGUGAACCUGCGGAAGGAUCAUUAUUGAAAAUAAACCUGAUGAGUUGAUGCUGGCUCUCUAGGGAGCAUGUGCACACUUGUCAUCUUUAUAAUAUCUCCACCUGUGCACCUUUUGUAGACCUGGAUAUCUUUCUGAAUGGCUCUGGCCAUUCAGGCUUGAGGAUUGGCUUUCRGUCUUUCCUUGUAUUUUCAGGCCUAUGUUUCUUCAUAUACUCUUAAUGUAUGUUAUAGAAUGUAAACAGGCCUCUGUGCCUAUAAUCUAUACAACUUUCAGCAACGGAUCUCUUGGCUCUCGCAUCGAUGAAGAACGCAGCGAAAUGCGAUAAGUAAUGUGAAUUGCAGAAUUCAGUGAAUCAUCGAAUCUUUGAACGCACCUUGCGCUCCUUGGUAUUCCGAGGAGCAUGCCUGUUUGAGUGUCAUUAAUAUAUCAAUCUCCUCAGCUUUUGCUGUUGAGUUUGGAUGUGGGGGUCUUUUUUUUGCUGGCCUCUUGAGGUCAGCUCCCCUGAAAUACAUUAGCAGAACAACUUGUUUGACUGUUCAUUAGUGUGAUAACUAUCUACGCUAUUGACGUGAGGACAGAGUUCGGCUUCUAACAGUCCAUUGACUUGGACAACUUUUCAUUAAUGUGACCUCAAAUCAGGUAGGACUACCCGCUGAACUUAAGCAUAUCAAUAAGCGGAGGA
Molecule: ribosomal RNA, 727 nt
Filed under: Cortinarius sp. PDD 71314
Lineage: Eukaryota; Fungi; Basidiomycota; Agaricomycetes; Agaricales; Cortinariaceae
Description: eukaryotic LSU rRNA
Rfam family: 5.8S ribosomal RNA (bases 310-463)
Source: RNAcentral